GAUGAACGCUAGCGGCAGGCCUAAUACAUGCAAGUCGGACGGGAUUUGGGAGUUUGCUCCUAAUGAGAGUGGCGCACGGGUGCGUAACACGUAUGUAACCUACCUUAAUCAGGGGGAUAGCCUCUCGAAAGAGAGAUUAACACCGCAUAAUAUAUUUUUAUGGCAUCGUAGAAAUAUCAAAUAUUUAUAGGAUUAAGAUGGGCAUGCGGAACAUUAGCUAGUUGGUAAGGUAACGGCUUACCAAGGCUACGAUGUUUAGGGGAUCUGAGAGGCUGACCCCCCACACUGGUACUGAGACACGGACCAGACUCCUACGGGAGGCAGCAGUAAGGAAUAUUGGUCCAUGGGCGCAAGCCUGAUCCAGCCAUGCCGCGUGCAGGAAGACGGCCCUAUGGGUUGUAAACUGCUUUUGUACCGGAAUAAACCCUUUUACGUGUAAGAGGCUGAAUGUACGGUAAGAAUAAGGAUCGGCUAACUCCGCGCCAGCAGCCGCCGUAA
Molecule: ribosomal RNA, 498 nt
Filed under: uncultured bacterium
Lineage: Bacteria
Description: partial 16S ribosomal RNA
Rfam family: Bacterial small subunit ribosomal RNA
Source: RNAcentral